AGGGAUGCUACCGGGCGACCGGAUGCGGAUCUCGAAAGCCUGUCCCAGUUCGGACUGGAGUCUGCAACCCGACUCCACGAAGUUGGAUUCGCUAGUAAUCGCGCAUCAGCCAUGGCGCGGUGAGUACGUUCCCGGGCCUUGUACACACCGCCCGUCAAGCCAUGGGAGCCGGGGGCGCCUGAAGUCCGGGACCGCGAGGACCGGCCUAGGGCGAAACUGGUAACUGGGGCUAAGUCGUAACAAGGUAAC
RNAcentral lists this ribosomal RNA (249 nucleotides) under uncultured bacterium. Its description in RNAcentral is "partial 16S ribosomal RNA". It matches the Rfam family "Bacterial small subunit ribosomal RNA", at positions 1243 to 1500 of the family's 1533-position model. The record is from RNAcentral.